This 235-nucleotide ribosomal RNA is filed under the name uncultured bacterium. Its description in RNAcentral is "partial 16S ribosomal RNA". It matches the Rfam family "Bacterial small subunit ribosomal RNA", at positions 96 to 334 of the family's 1533-position model. The record is from RNAcentral.
UGGCGGACGGGUGAGUAACGUCUGGGAAACUGCCCGAUGGAGGGGGAUAACUACUGGAAACGGUAGCUAAUACCGCAUAACGUCGCAAGACCAAAGAGGGGGACCUUCGGGCCUCUUGCCAUCGGAUGUGCCCAGAUGGGAUUAGCUAGUAGGUGGGGUAACGGCUCACCUAGGCGACGAUCCCUAGCUGGUCUGAGAGGAUGACCAGCCACACUGGAACUGAGACACGGUCCAG